Lactuca sativa (garden lettuce) is the source of this 107-nucleotide small nucleolar RNA. The record is from RefSeq and is a predicted model, not a curated record. NCBI's taxonomy places the organism in Eukaryota, Viridiplantae, Streptophyta, Magnoliopsida, Asterales, Asteraceae.
AGAUCAUGUUGAGGGAAGCUACUAAGCCAGCCCUUGUACUUCUCCCAAGCUUCAUAUGAGGAUUCUCCGACCUCUUGUUGAAAGUUAGGAAUCUUCGUUUUUAGCUU